UACAGAGACUGCAAGCGUUAUUCGGAUUCACUGGGUUUAAAGGGUGCGCAGGCGGGACAUUAAGUCAGGGGUGAAAGACGGUUGCUCAACAAUCGCAGUGCCUUUGAUACUGGUGUUCUUGGGUAACCUUGAGGUAGGCGGAAUGGGUGGUGUAGCGGUGAAAUGCAUAGAUACCACCCAGAACUCCGAUUGCGAAGGCAGCCUACUGGAGGUCAACCGACGCUCAGGCACGAAAGCGUGGGGAUCAAACAGG
This 253-nucleotide ribosomal RNA is filed under the name uncultured bacterium. RNAcentral's name for it is "partial 16S ribosomal RNA". It matches the Rfam family "Bacterial small subunit ribosomal RNA", at positions 524 to 776 of the family's 1533-position model. The record is from RNAcentral.